This 76-nucleotide ribosomal RNA is filed under the name Eutreptiella gymnastica. RNAcentral's name for it is "partial 5.8S ribosomal RNA". The record is from RNAcentral. Lineage: Eukaryota; Euglenozoa; Euglenophyceae; Eutreptiales; Eutreptiaceae.
GCUGGAAGCGAUCAGGACUGAGAAAUGCAGUGUCACUUGAGCCGUGGGGGCUUUGAACAGAUUGCUUUCUUUCCUC